CUACGGGCCGCUCCAGUGGGGAAUAUUGGACAAUGGGGGAAACCCUGAUCCAGCAAUGCCGCGUGUGUGAAGAAGGCCUGCGGGUUGUAAAGCACUUUCGGUUGGGAGGACUGCUUCUAGCACUAAUAUUGUUGGAAGUUGACGUUACCUUCAGAAGAAGCACCGGCUAACUCCGUGCCAGCGAGCCGCGGUAAUACGGAGGGUGCAAGCGUUAAUCGGAAUUACUGGGCGUAAAGCGCGCGUAGGCGGCUAGAUCAGUCGGGUGUGAAAGCCCCGGGCUUAACCUGGGAACUGCAUCCGAUACUGUCUAGCUUGAGUACAGGAGAGGAGAGUGGAAUUCCACAUGUAGCGGUGAAAUGCGUAGAUAUGUGGAGGAACACCAAUGGCGAAGGCAGCUCUCUGGCCUGAUACUGACGCUGAGGUGCGAAGGCGUGGGGAGCAAACAGGAUUAGAUACCCGCGUAGUC
RNAcentral lists this ribosomal RNA (466 nucleotides) under uncultured bacterium. RNAcentral describes it as "partial 16S ribosomal RNA". It matches the Rfam family "Bacterial small subunit ribosomal RNA", at positions 339 to 795 of the family's 1533-position model. The record is from RNAcentral.